UGCGUAGGCGGGCUAAUAAGUCAGUGGUGAAAUCUCUCGGCUCAACCGGGAAACUGCCAUUGAUACUGUUAGUCUUGAGUUCGGUUGGGGUAGGCGGAAUGUGUAAUGUAGCGGUGAAAUGCUUAGAUAUUACACAGAACACCAAUUGCGUAGGCAGCUUACUAGACCGACACUGACGCUGAGGCACGAAAGCGUGGGGAGCGAACAGGAUUAGAUACCCUGGUAGUCC
This 229-nucleotide ribosomal RNA is filed under the name uncultured bacterium. RNAcentral describes it as "partial 16S ribosomal RNA". It matches the Rfam family "Bacterial small subunit ribosomal RNA", at positions 568 to 796 of the family's 1533-position model. The record is from RNAcentral.